GUUCUUGACGAGGAGGAGCUACAUUUCUGGGGAUCUUGUCAGGCAAGCGAUCGGUUGUUUAGGAGCUAGCGAGCGUGGCUCCAGCGGGAUUGAAGUUCCAGCAUUUUGGUGCCGUGAAAAGAUGAUCGACAAGCUUCCCCGGUGGUAGAAGCGCUCUAGCAGGGAAAAUCUUACUUUAGUUGGAUUGGAUGGCUCGGCCAGCUCAGGUGAUAAUAGACGAAGACGGCGACGACGAAGAUGGGGAUUUGCUUGUAGACUGGAAAGCAUCGUCUUCUUCCAUCCUUGCGAGUGCCUCUGCCAGCAUUGCCAUUGCUACCACCACCGCCACCACCGCCACUAGAACAUUGAAAAGUUCUUGUGGUCUUUUUUCUGGAGGAGCCAGCGUGAGCAAUGUGUUGUGCUUGGAUUCGGACUCGGAUGGAUCGGCCCCCAUUGCUGUUGUUCUAGGCACGCAGACCAGCUCCGUGGAUGAUCCUCGAGAAAUCAAAAGAAGAAAGCUGGAGCAAGAGAAAGAAGCUCGAAAGGAGGAACGAGCUGCGAGGAAGCAGGCAAAGGAAGCUGAGAAGCAAAGGCUGAAGGAGGAAAAGCGGAAAAAAAAAGAGGCCGAAAGAUUGCAGAAGGCACGAGCUAAGGAGAAAGCAGCGCAAGUACGAACGCAUGAGCAGCAAAAGGCGAAAUGGGAGAAAGGCACGUUCUCGGCUGAGAACACUGUUGCGAUAAUCGAUUGCAAGGUCGCAGAGAAUGGACUGAUUGGAGGCCAGUUGCUGAAUCUUUUCGCUGGUAAAGAGCUGAAGUUCUCGCUCAGCUCGAAUCCAAUAUCGGGGAGUAUCAUCUGGAAAACAAAGAGGCUAGCAGAGAGUUUUGACACGGAAAAUGACGAGAUAGAGCUCGAGGAAGUCGACGUGCCUUACGUCCUUCUCGUGUUUGGAGCGGAAGAAUUCUCAUCACUGCUUUGCCAAGGCUCGCUGGAUGUACAUGUUCGUCGAGUCCAGGCACAGUAUCCGGGAUUUACCGUGUGUUAUCUCGUCAACAAGCUCCACUGGUACUUGCAGAAGAAAGAUCAAGAGCAGUUUAAACGCGGAGAAAGUGAAUGGAUCCGGCCAAACGCAGACAAGGCGCUGGCGGAGCUCGUGACAAACUACUGUGGAGUACAUUCUCGCCUGUGUAUCGAUGAAGCUGAAGUGGCGGAUCAUGUCAUCGCUCUCACGCGGAGCUUGAUAGAAUGUCCUUACAAGCAAAGACUCACGUCUCUUUCUGUGAGCAAGAAUGGAGAUCAUAUCGUGGACAAGGAUCCCAACAAGGAAGUGAUCAAGAAGAGCAGCUGGCUGAAAACUCUGGUUGCGAUUCCAAAGGUUUCCGGAGCGGCUGCAAUUGCGAUAUCCAAACGCUAUCCUUCGUUUCGUUCGCUCUUGAACGCCUACAUGGAUCCUUCAAUGACAGUGCAUGACAAGGAACUUUUGCUCCAAGACCUGGAGAAGGAGGGAGCUGACAGCCGAAGGCGUGUCGGUCCAGCAUGCUCGAGACGAAUCUACCGAAUUCUCAUGGCUCAAAAUGGCGAUCUUAAAACGGAGGAUGUGGAAACCGGAGCUGAUCAAUUUGAUUGCGAGUGAGAAACCACUCAACAAGGUUUGAUGUUAUCCUUAGCUUUAACCGAUUUGUAGCGCUAUGGACAUGACUUUGCAGCUAGGAUCAAAGUAAUCUAACAGCAAACUCUGGUUACGAAAUGAAACGAAGUUUCAUCCAAGCAAAACACUCAAGUCCUUGUAUAUUUUGUCAGCAACUUCAUCCCGGUUGUUCUUGUCAAGUGUGAGAACUGCUACCCCCGGAAAGCUCACGACCUUCUCCACUGCAAGAUGAACCGAGCCUAAGAUCACAGCAUUACGACGCUGUAGCAAUGCUUCCACGGCAGGAAAAAACUUUGGGCUGAAGAGCUCCAUCUUGCCAACUUCGUCGAUCACAAAAAGCUGGGUGUCUUCCAGUGGCUGCGAAACGCAAAAGCAUGACAAACUGUGAAGUUCUACCGCAGCAUAUAUUUACCUCUAGCUCGGGCAAUGCGAGAGCUUCAAAGCCAGGAACAUUCACCUUGUAUCGUCCCACCAUAGGAAGCCGGCUACAUUGUAAAAAUCAGAUUUUUACACGAACAAGUUCUCAAGAUACCCUGGAGAAUUGAUCGAAGCUAGCAUUUCCUUGCGUCCUCCAUUAAAAGCGAUGACUUCGAAUCCAACUCUCUCGCCCUCCUUUCUCACUUCCUCUAAAUCACAAAGAGAUGAGAAAUCUCUGAUUUUGUGUCAA
Molecule: RNA transcript, 2292 nt
Organism: Selaginella moellendorffii
Lineage: Eukaryota; Viridiplantae; Streptophyta; Lycopodiopsida; Selaginellales; Selaginellaceae
Gene name: crossover junction endonuclease EME1
Exons: 10
Source: RefSeq, a predicted model, not a curated record